GUGUCUGCCAGGAACUGGAAGAGCAAGUUGCUGAGCACAGGCAUUCCUGUUCUUCAGUUAUAGUUUUUGGCUCUUCCUUUCGACCACCGAUCUGUGACUCUCCUCACACUUCUCCAUGAAGUAGAGGCUGGAAGCAACAGCAGAGCAUCACAGACAAGUCACGAAGCUCCUUUCCUGGAGAAGCCAGCACUGGCCUGAAUGGCUGGCUUUUCAGGUGCUCCAACAAAGUAUAAGUAUAAGGCUCCCACCAGAGUCCUUAAAGAAGAAAGAUUUCCAGGGAGACAGCUAUAAUGGAAGUUGACCAAACAGUGCAGUGCAAAUUAUGAUAAAGAAGAACUUUUAUACUCAUCUACUGAGCAGUCCAUCAGACUCCAGGUUUGGUCAGUCCCAAGUGCUAAAUGAAGAAAAGCGUGUGCCUGGUGCGCAGCUGUAGCUGUGUGAAGAGCUGUUCAUCUCUAACCCUACUGGGACUGGGGAGAUUGGCAGCCCAUUUCUUUUCAUUCUGAUGCUCUAGCCAUCUCAAGCUUUCGCAACUGAAUGAUGUAGGGACCCAGCUACAGAUAUUUCCCUCAA
Harpia harpyja (harpy eagle) is the source of this 573-nucleotide long non-coding RNA. RefSeq lists it as uncharacterized. The record is from RefSeq and is a predicted model, not a curated record. Lineage: Eukaryota; Metazoa; Chordata; Aves; Accipitriformes; Accipitridae. The transcript is spliced from 3 exons.